Molecule: ribosomal RNA, 497 nt
Filed under: uncultured bacterium
Lineage: Bacteria
Description: partial 16S ribosomal RNA
Rfam family: Bacterial small subunit ribosomal RNA
Source: RNAcentral
GAUGAACGCUGGCGGCGUGCCUAAUACAUGCAAGUCGAGCGAACAGACGAGGAGCUUGCUCCUCUGACGUUAGCGGCGGACGGGUGAGUAACACGUGGAUAACCUACCUAUAAGACUGGGAUAACUUCGGGAAACCGGAGCUAAUACCGGAUAAUAUAUUGAACCGCAUGGUUCAAUAGUGAAAGACGGUUUUGCUGUCACUUAUAGAUGGAUCCGCGCCGCAUUAGCUAGUUGGUAAGGUAACGGCUUACUAAGGCAACGAUGCGUAGCCGACCUGAGAGGGUGAUCGGCCACACUGGAACUGAGACACGGUCCAGACUCCUACGGGAGGCAGCAGUAGGGAAUCUUCCGCAAUGGGCGAAAGCCUGACGGAGCAACGCCGCGUGAGUGAUGAAGGUCUUCGGAUCGUAAAACUCUGUUAUUAGGGAAGAACAAAUGUGUAAGUAACUAUGCACGUCUUGACGGUACCUAAUCAGAAAGCCACGGCUAACUACGUG